Molecule: long non-coding RNA, 3094 nt
Organism: Equus caballus (horse)
Lineage: Eukaryota; Metazoa; Chordata; Mammalia; Perissodactyla; Equidae
Source: RefSeq, a predicted model, not a curated record
AGAUUCUCCCCGAGAUACAGAAUCAUAUCAAAUCUUAUCCCAGCCCCGGGGGAGCAGCCGUCCCCCGCCAUCUGCUGUGGCCUCCCUGAAGAAGGCCGCUGCCAGCCUCUCUUACCCAAAGCUGAUGCUGGGGUUUUCAACACUCAGCCAAGUCACAGGGAGGAGGGAGACCAUUAACAAUAAUUAGAUGCAUAGCAUAGCUGACUGGGCUGCGUGAGUGGUUUUUCAAUCCGUCCUGGUGGCAAAGCUGUAUCUGAGAGGAAGAGACAUGCCAGCCCCAAUGACACAGUUAAGCAUGGGUUCAAGAAGGUAGUGGAGUGUAGACUCUCGCUCCUCAGAGUAUCAUCCUGGGGUCUGCAGCACGGCCAUCACCCGGGAGCUGGGUACUGACACAGACUCUCAGGCCCCUGCUGAAUUAGGGAACAUGCUUUAGCAAGAUGGCCUGGUGAUCAGAGGCACAUUAGAGUCGGAGACGCACUGGAGCACAGUUAAGAACAUACGGGUGCUUCCUUGUGGAUUCUAAUUCCAGCUCUGUCACUCAGUAGCUGGUGAUGUCAGGUAAGUUAAGCACCCUCUCUGAGCUUCAGUUUCCUCUCGGUUAAAGCGGAGGUGAUAUUGCCCAUCAUAAAGGGUGAUAUGAGGCACGGGCCUGGCACCCGUAGGCUCCCACCCUGGGAAAUGUUAGCAGCACGGAGCUGCUUCCUUCCCAAGCAAGCUACCCAGGAGAUGGGACUUCGGCCAGCCCUCUUGCUAUUUCACUUUUGCAUUUUCUGGGGGCAUUUACAGACCCCUGGCUAUGAACCCUGAAGCCAACAGUCGUUGCCUUUCAUCCCCAGUCUCCUUACGUGGGAAAUAAGGGUCCCGAGUGCCCUCCUGGGAGGGUGGAGCUGUGGGCGCAGGAACUGAAUGCUUGUGGACGGGCAGGGCCAGGUCGUGGGGCGGGGCUUCUAGGAAGAGGCAACACAGCAUCUGACUGGUAGUGGAGCCUUAUAAACGGCACUGUGACCGUUUCCCACAAGCAAGUAGUAUGGAGUCUGGAUUUCAUUUCUUUUACCAUUUCUGUGUUUCCUUGCCAGACGAUAGGAUUCCGUUGCCGUGGGGUUGGGGCACGAACCCCCUUCCCUUUGUUUUGUGUGGUGUGUUCUGUAGCUGUAGCUCCCUCUACUCUCCAGGCUAAUGUAACCAAGCACCGAGACAGACAAGCCACAGGUCUGUGGGGACCUCGAGGUCUCCACGAUCACUGGGCUUGUUUAGCAGAGCUGCUCUCCCAGCGGCGCUUGGCUGAGGCUGCUUUUCAAAUUCGUUUCGGGGGAAAGAGGAGGGACAGCCCCUGAGUGUUCCUUGGAAUGAGACGGCUGGUGACCUGGGCGAGUCGUUUAACCUCGCUAAGCCUCAGUUUCCUCCUAGGAUCAUAAUACUAGUAGGAGAACCUCCCUGAAGAUGCCACGCAAGUCUCUGCCCAUUCUGGGGAUGAUGGGAUGGCUGGAGGAUUAAAUGAGGCGGUACUUAUAAGGAAUGGGGUACAGAAAGUGGCAUAUGGCUGCCGUUCUUGUGGUUGUCAGAAGAGAUAGGCCUUAGACCAUUGGCCUAAGUGGAAAAUCACAAAUAAGAGAGUGGCUCCAUUCGCAAACAGCAAGCCCAGCCUCCCCACUCCGGUGCAGGUCACCCCAGGGCAACCGAUUGACGUGUCCUCCCAGAGGCUGAUUCUGAACACUCGUGCUGCCUUGGGUCUCCGGCCUGUCCCUCCAGUGAGACAUGAAGAGCCUCGCCAUCAGGCUCUGUGGGUCUGGGAAGGGUUCUGCUUACUGAUGGAGUGAGAGCUGAGGCUGCACUGGCCACGCAUCUCUUCAAACUGCCUGGCCAGCCAGUCUCCCCAGGCUCAGGCGUGGCUGAGUCGACAGUUGUUGAAGAAUGGAACGAGUUUUCCGCGCAUAAGUCUCAAGCUGGAAACCGGUCCGGCCACUCCUCACAUCAACACCUAUGAUUCCACCCAGCUUGCUGGCAUGGUGGGACCUUCCCAUUUACCUCCCUGCAGGGUGUGGGGUCCCCUGUCUCAGAGUCAGCUUCCCAGGGCAAAGAAAGCCUGAAGACCUGAGGUCUUCAGCAGAAGAUCUGUCCAUAUCAAAGGCACCUGGGACUCUGAACCCCUUACUGCCUCCCAAGACUGAGGAGUGGACCUGGAUUCCUCCUCUGGGCUCCCACUGGGAGUACAGACACAUCUACCCAGAAUGCUGAAUGUUGACACCACCUGCUGCCUUGCCUGGGGUUAGCGAAGGGCAUCCAGGGCUCUGGCACCUUUCUACCUGAGUGUCGAAUGAUGCAGACUCAUCUCUCAGGGUAUGUUCACAACUGAGCUAACCGGCAACUACUGCAAACUGUAAUGAGACCCCCGGAUGCUGACUGUGGGGGACGGUGGAGUCCUCAGAAUGUCCCAUCUUCAACACCCUCACCAUGGAGGGGCCUUUCCAGAGGGAUGGUGUGCAGACGGCUGAGCUAAGCCCCAUGGAGUCCUCACUAGGCGACUACCCCCAACCGAGAAGGGCCAGGCAGCCACUGUCCCCUUCUCUCCCCAUUAUGGUAUAUUGCCAUGUACAUCUCACUCGUGACCCUUCUCCUCCCUCCUUCCUACUGAAACAAGUUAAAACCCUGGUUCUGGUUUGUUCAUGUUUUGGAGGCUGGGUCAUGACAUCCUCCCCUCGGUGGAUUAAGGGAGGCGGCUCGGAGAAGUCAGCAACGGUGGAAUGAGCUUGGGUUCCAACAUAGGCUGACACACACAAGGACAACGGGAAAUGGAGGUGGGAAGAAGACGUGGAAGUAGGAGCGAGAAGAAUGAGGUCCUCCAUGCACCUUCUGCCAGGGGAGCUGGGCUUGCUGAACAGCAGCCACACUCUUGGAGCAGAGUGUGCAGGAUGCCCCUUUCUGUCGGGUUCCCUUGUCACACGUUCACCUAUAAAGAGGAAUAGGGGAGCUGUCUCCUUGGCUUUUCCAUCCAUUAAUCCCUCCAGAAUACCUCUCCAACAUGGACGCUUCCGCAGAAACAACUAUGUGGUGAUGUCAUAACCAGAGAUCCCUCUGAUGGUUAAGACCAAAUCAA